Triticum dicoccoides is the source of this 1640-nucleotide long non-coding RNA. RefSeq lists it as uncharacterized. The record is from RefSeq and is a predicted model, not a curated record. The transcript has 6 exons. NCBI's taxonomy places the organism in Eukaryota, Viridiplantae, Streptophyta, Magnoliopsida, Poales, Poaceae.
UCAGGAGGAAACUGGCACUUGCCGCGAGCCAGAGUCACUCGCUCCCCCACUCUUAUUCACUGACCGUUGGGCCCAGGACUAGGCCAGGCCCACGAGUCAGUCAGUUUGUGCGGAAGCGCGGCGUUGUCGCCCGUGUCGAGAUCGGCCGGCGCCAUUAGCACGAGUCGCUGCGACCGUGCGACGUCGCCGCCGGCGCGAGACGGGAGGCGCUUUGCUUCCCAUGGAGUAGUAUAAACAGCCGUCGCCAGUCGCAUUCCAUCCGCAGACGAGGGAACAAUCCACACAUCUUCCAGUGCUGUGCCUGCCGUCGAACCCGCCGCCGGCGCCCGCGACGAUGCCUGACCAGGAGGCGCCCACCCAACUCCCCCACUCCCCCGCCGGGACCCAUCCCCCGGCAACGCCGACACAGCCACCUCCACGAGCCGCUGCGGCCAGCGCUGGGAGAUCGCGUCUCCUCCACCUCGCAUUCCUCUGCGUGGUUCGUGGAUUCCUUUGUGGCAGCCGCUGAGUCCUGCCUGCCCGCGUCCGCCGUCGCCGCCACGGUCCUGCUCCUCGCGGCGUGCUUCCACCUCACGCUCCACCUCGUCCACUCCUUCGCCGUGCCCUGCCCCCCGCCCCCCGCCGUCACCGCCGUGGCGAAGGCCGUCACUGUUGGGGUAGGGGUCGCUUCGUGCCUUCACGGUGCCUGUGGAGCUCCCCAGGGUUACACAACAGCUUAUAGCUGAACGAGGCUCGGCUUCGGUAGGAUCGAUUCUAACAAGUCACACACUGUAUUCAAGAGAAGGGGAAAAACAUGUUGGACCGCCAAAUAUGUUCAAGUAUAUGCAAUCGAAAUUUGGGUGACACCUUUGUGAUGUCCAUUUCAAUUUGGCACAAUCAUCGACCGACGACAAUGCGUAACAAACCUUCAGUUCUGGUGGUUGCAUUCCUAUUGGGUUAUCUCUUGUCUCAGCUGGACGGAUUUGGCAUUCAUCCAAGAAUCUUCAGAGUUUCAGUCAGGUCAGAGCUGCCCAUAACACACUGGGCCAGCUAAGUUCAGAAACAUGGCAUCUUGGAUGGUUCAACUGGUCAAAAGCUAAAGAAAGUCUGAAGUUACGGGUGGCUUACCGAGUCGAGCAAGAUGUUGGAGGCCUUGAAGUCGCGGUAGAUCACCGGCGGGUCGGCAUCGUGGAGAAAGGCAAGGCCCUUGGCCGCGCCGACAGCGAUCUUCAUCCUUGUCAUCCACGGGAGAGAGCCAUUGGUACCUGAAGAUGGUAGGAUGUUUCAGGAACGAGUGAACGACUGGUCGAACCGUACCUGAAAUAAAAUUGACAGAAAGCGCAGGGCCUUUUAGCUAAACCAUUCACCUUGGGAAAUUCCAAUUUGGACUUUGUGCAAGCCGUUCUGGUGAAAAGUAGAGUGAGUUGCUCUAGGGACUGGAAGUUUCAAGAUCAACAAACACAGAAGAAGAGAACGGCCUGGUAAGCUGAAUAUUUUUUCUUAUAAACACCCGAGUUGUUACUACCUGUAUCUUUAAGAAAUAGGCGAAAUUCAAGGUAGCACACCCGUUUUACCGGUCAAAAUUAUACGUUACUCCGUUUUACCGAGUAAACAUGAUAGAAGUUCCACAGUAGUCCAAAGCCAAAACAGAAUUUCGCUUA